Molecule: transfer RNA, 70 nt
Filed under: Camelus bactrianus (Bactrian camel)
Lineage: Eukaryota; Metazoa; Chordata; Mammalia; Artiodactyla; Camelidae
Also listed under: 2 other names
Rfam family: tRNA
About the family: Transfer RNA (tRNA) molecules are approximately 80 nucleotides in length. Their secondary structure includes four short double-helical elements and three loops (D, anti-codon, and T loops).
Source: Rfam by way of RNAcentral
GGGUAUGGCUCAGUGGUAGAGUACCUGCUUAGCAUGCAUGAAGUCCUGGGUUCGACCCCCAGCAUCUCCA